This 467-nucleotide ribosomal RNA is filed under the name uncultured bacterium. Its description in RNAcentral is "partial 16S ribosomal RNA". It matches the Rfam family "Bacterial small subunit ribosomal RNA", at positions 28 to 506 of the family's 1533-position model. The record is from RNAcentral.
GACGAACGCUGGCGGCGUGCUUAACACAUGCAAGUCGAACGGAAAGGCCCUGCUUUUGUGGGGUGCUCGAGUGGCGAACGGGUGAGUAACACGUGAGUAACCUGCCCUUGACUUUGGGAUAACUUCAGGAAACUGGGGCUAAUACCGGAUAGGAGCUCCUGCUGCAUGGUGGGGGUUGGAAAGUUUCGGCGGUUGGGGAUGGACUCGCGGCUUAUCAGCUUGUUGGUGGGGUAGUGGCUUACCAAGGCUUUGACGGGUAGCCGGCCUGAGAGGGUGACCGGCCACAUUGGGACUGAGAUACGGCCCAGACUCCUACGGGAGGCAGCAGUGGGGAAUAUUGCACAAUGGGCGGAAGCCUGAUGCAGCAACGCCGCGUGCGGGAGGACGGCCUUCGGGUUGUAAACCGCUUUCGCCUGUGACGAAGCGUGAGUGACGGUAAUGGGUAGAGAAGCACCGGCUAACUACGU